RNAcentral lists this ribosomal RNA (425 nucleotides) under uncultured bacterium. RNAcentral's name for it is "partial 16S ribosomal RNA". It matches the Rfam family "Bacterial small subunit ribosomal RNA", at positions 354 to 796 of the family's 1533-position model. The record is from RNAcentral.
GUGGGGAAUAUUGGACAAUGGGCGAAAGCCUGAUCCAGCCAUGCCGCGUGAGUGAUGAAGGCCUUAGGGUUGUAAAGCUCUUUCAGUGGGGACGAUAAUGACGGUACCCACAGAAGAAGCCCCGGCUAACUUCGUGCCAGCAGCCGCGGUAAUACGAAGGGGGCUAGCGUUGUUCGGAUUUACUGGGCGUAAAGCGCACGUAGGCGGAUCGUUAAGUCAGGGGUGAAAUCCUGGAGCUCAACUCCAGAACUGCCUUUGAUACUGGCGAUCUAGAGUCCGGAAGAGGUGAGUGGAACUCCGAGUGUAGAGGUGGAAUUCGUAGAUAUUAGGAAGAACACCAGUGGCGAAGGCGGCUCACUGGUCCGGUACUGACGCUGAGGUGCGAAAGCGUGGGGAGCAAACAGGAUUAGAUACCCCGGUAGUCC